AGUGAACGCUGGCGGUAGGCCCAACACAUGCAAGUCGAUCGGCAGCACAGAGGAGCUUGCUCCUUGGGUGGCGAGUGGCGGACGGGUGAGGAAUACAUCGGAAUCUACUCUGUCGUGGGGGAUAACGUAGGGAAACUUACGCUAAUACCGCAUACGACCUACGGGUGAAAGCAGGGGAUCUUCGGACCUUGCGCGAUUGAAUGAGCCGAUGUCGGAUUAGCUAGUUGGCGGGGUAAAGGCCCACCAAGGCGACGAUCCGUAGCUGGUCUGAGAGGAUGAUCAGCCACACUGGAACUGAGACACGGUCCAGACUCCUACGGGAGGCAGCAGUGGGGAAUAUUGGACAAUGGGCGCAAGCCUGAUCCAGCCAUACCGCGUGGGUGAAGAAGGCCUUCGGGUUGUAAAGCCCUUUUGUUGGGAAAGAAAUCCAUCUGGUUAAUACCCGGGUGGGAUGACGGUACCCAAAGAAUAAGCACCGGCUAACUUCGUGCCAGCCGCCGCAGUAA
RNAcentral lists this ribosomal RNA (506 nucleotides) under uncultured bacterium. Its description in RNAcentral is "partial 16S ribosomal RNA". It matches the Rfam family "Bacterial small subunit ribosomal RNA", at positions 29 to 523 of the family's 1533-position model. The record is from RNAcentral.